Molecule: ribosomal RNA, 255 nt
Filed under: uncultured bacterium
Lineage: Bacteria
Description: partial 16S ribosomal RNA
Rfam family: Bacterial small subunit ribosomal RNA
Source: RNAcentral
UACGUAGGGUCCUAGCGUUGUCCGGAAUUACUGGGCGUAAAGGGCUCGUAGGCGGCCAACUAAGUCGGAUGUGAAAUCCCCAGGCUCAACCUGGGAACUGCAUCCGAUACUGGAUGGCUUGAAUUCGGGAGAGGGAUGCAGAAUUCCAGGUGUAGCGGUGAAAUGCGUAGAUAUCUGGAGGAAUACCGGUGGCGAAGGCGGCAUCCUGGACCGACAUUGACGGCUGAGGAGCGAAAGCCAGGGGAGCAAACGGGG